Molecule: long non-coding RNA, 958 nt
Filed under: Capra hircus (goat)
Lineage: Eukaryota; Metazoa; Chordata; Mammalia; Artiodactyla; Bovidae
Description: lncRNA (ENSCHIG00010031738.1)
Source: RNAcentral
GUCUGUUAUGAGCGUAUCCAUAUUUGUUUAGAAAAGUGCUUACAGUGCUCAAUCCGGGCCCCACGCCACUUAACAGACUUAAAAUGGACCAUGUAAAUGGACCGUUUGCACAUGUCCAGGGGAGUUCAAGUUUGCAGUACUCGUGUGUCUCCACAGAACAGGGGAAGCUUUAAACCCAGAGAAUCGUCUUCGCUUUGCUGGUCUGUGUUCCGGAACACAGCAUUCCCACGACAGGCAGUGCCAUCUGCAUGGAAGCCCGGUCACGUUUGUUGCUGGGCAGGCAACCCCACCUGCUUUGUUUGAUGUACACUGAUUCUCUUGGGCUCAAACCUAAAGACUUACUCCUAGGUUGUAUUUUAUGAAGUGAAUUUUAAAAAUGUAUUUGGUUAUUUUAUUUUUUGCUGCCCUGGGUCUUUUCGCUUUACGUGGCUUUUCUCCAGUUGUAGCCGGGCGGGGGGCUACUCGCUAGUGGCUGUGCAGGGCUUCUUGCUGCAGAGUGUGGGCCUCAAGGUGCAUGAACUCGGAACUUGUGGCUCAUGGGCUUAGUUGCCUCACGGCACAUGGGAUCUUCCUGCAUCAGAGGCCAAACCCAUGUCCCCAACAUUGGCAGGCCGGAUUCCUAUCCACUAAGCCACCAAGACAGUCCCCAGAUUGUAUUUUAGAAACACCACCAGUGACGGAUACUUUGGCCGCUUCAACCUUGCUUCAGCCUCGGGGUCUCAGUUCUGAACCUUCUGCGGAGCCCACGGUGGCGCUGGUGCGCUGUGGGCGCCUCACAGGCUUGUUCAGCCCUUCAGGGUCCUGUCCUCUGUUGACCGUCUCAUCCCAUAAACUACGUUCAGAUGCAGUUCCCCCUGCAGUUUCUGCAUUCUCUUUAUUAGAAUUGUCGCCCAUACCUUGGGGCCUUCAUAUUCUCCCAGGUUGGGGGGUCAGAGGCAGAUAUGUUUCUUUUUGGUAA